Molecule: long non-coding RNA, 687 nt
Organism: Piliocolobus tephrosceles (Ugandan red Colobus)
Lineage: Eukaryota; Metazoa; Chordata; Mammalia; Primates; Cercopithecidae
Exons: 5
Source: RefSeq, a predicted model, not a curated record
GAGUUAUUCAGGGAUCCAGGCUUGCUCCAGCAAGGAGGAAAGAGUGAGGACAGUCGGCUGCCUAUGAAACUCUCCAGAUUGAAAGAGACCAUUACACAUAUUGUAAAGACCAGAAGAAUUGUUUUCUGCACACCUUGCCUGGCAAGUACUCUUCUACAACCUAAAACAAAGUGUAGAAUUUGAUAAGAGCUAAGCCCUGCUUGAAAGUAGAAAAGGGGCUUUCAGAAAUAGAAGAAGGGCUUGGAAACAAGUAUAAAGAGCCAAAAAAGAGGUAUCAUCAACAGGAAGAGGGUGAGGAUGCACCUGUAAGCCACACACAUUGGACAACACAGGUUCUUCACUGCAAGUCUGUGAAGCCCAAUCAAAGAAGCUUUGGUGAAAAAGGUAGCCUGUUCAGGACACAGCAGAAUGUGAUUUUUUGCUUCUAAAGAAAAGGGAAAUUUGGACACAGACCCAGAGAGGACAGUGCCGUGGACACACAGACACAGGGGAGAAUACCAGACGAAGGCAGAGGCAGAGGCUGGAGGCAAGUGUCUACAAGCUAAUGGACAGCAAGGAUUUCCAGCCACCACCGGAAGCUAGGGAAAAAGCCGGCAACAGAUUCUCUCAGAGCCUCCAGUCAGAACCAAUCAACCUUGGUUUUGGCCCUUUAGCUUGCAGAACUGUAAAAAUUUCUGUCUUAAGCCA